RNAcentral lists this unclassified non-coding RNA (211 nucleotides) under Hevea brasiliensis (rubber tree). Lineage: Eukaryota; Viridiplantae; Streptophyta; Magnoliopsida; Malpighiales; Euphorbiaceae. The record is from RNAcentral.
AAGGGAAAUUAGUAAGGAAGAAAUGUUAUUCCUUCAACACUAAAACAGCAGAAAUAUUAUUAAAAUAAGGCGAAGUCAAACAAGGAAUACCCUUUCAGACCGGAACCAUCUUAGGCAACCCUUUCAGACCGUAAUCCACACCGUUUCAACUUUAUUUUCCAAUUACUUUAUUUUCAAUAUUUUAUAUUUUUUCUUUUUAUAUUGAAAAUAA